RNAcentral lists this ribosomal RNA (1002 nucleotides) under uncultured bacterium. Its description in RNAcentral is "bacterial SSU rRNA". It matches the Rfam family "Bacterial small subunit ribosomal RNA", at positions 9 to 1009 of the family's 1533-position model. The record is from RNAcentral.
GAGUUUGAUCAUGGCUCAGAGCGAACGCUGGCGGCGUGCUUAACACAUGCAAGUCGAGUGCGCGGUGCCGUAGCAAUACGGUACUGGCGCACGGCGCACGGGUGCGUAACACGUGGGUAAUCUGCCCUCUGAUGGGGAAUAACCCCGCGAAAGCGGGGCUAAUACCGCAUAACAUUCCUUGGACUCCGGUUCGAGGAUUCAAAGGCGUAAGUCGUCGGAGGUGGAGCCCGCGCACGAUUAGCUAGUUGGUAGGGUAAUGGCCUACCAAGGCUUUGAUCGUUAGCUGGUCUGAGAGGAUGGCCAGCCACACUGGAACUGAGACACGGUCCAGACUCCUACGGGAGGCAGCAGUGGGGAAUCUUGCACAAUGGGCGAAAGCCCGAUGCAGCGACGCCGCGUGGGGGAUGAAGCUUCUCGGAGUGUAAACCCCUUUCGACCGGGACGAAUACCUCGCAAGAGGGGUGACGGUACCGGUAUAAGAAGCCCCGGCUAACUACGUGCCAGCAGCCGCGGUAAGACGUAGGGGGCCAGCGUUGCUCGGAAUUACUGGGUGUAAAGGGUUCGUAGGCGGUGUGGCAAGUCGGGAGUGAAAUCCCUGGGCUUAACUCAGGGGCUGCUUCCGAAACUGCCGUGCUAGAGUGUGGGAGAGGCGCGUGGAAUUGCAGGUGUAGCGGUGAAAUGCGUAGAUAUCUGCAGGAACACCCGUGGCGAAAGCGGCGCGCUGGACCACUACUGACGCUGAGGAACGAAAGCUAGGGGAGCAAACAGGAUUAGAUACCCUGGUAGUCCUAGCCCUAAACGAUCAGGACUUGGGGUGCCACCCGUUCGGGUGUCGUCCCGGAGCUAACGCGUUAAGUCCUGCACCUGGGGAGUACGGUCGCAAGACUGAACUCAAGGAAUUGACGGGGGCCCGCACAAGCGGUGGAACAUGUGGUUCAAUUCGACGCUACGCGAGGAACCUUACCUGGGCUCGAAAUGCUUCUGACCAGCUGUAGAAAAUAC